Molecule: long non-coding RNA, 1344 nt
Organism: Eriocheir sinensis (Chinese mitten crab)
Lineage: Eukaryota; Metazoa; Arthropoda; Malacostraca; Decapoda; Varunidae
Exons: 4
Source: RefSeq, a predicted model, not a curated record
UACGAAGGCGAACUUUUAAUACGGCCCCAUAUACAAGAGUGGAAGAGAGCAAUGGACAGGAAAUCAAGAGGUCUGCGCCAUUAAAGGAGUGCCAUUACGAAGGCGAACUUUUAAUACGGCCCCAUAUACAAGAGUGGAAGAGAGCAAUGGACAGGAAAUCAAGAGGUCUGCGUCAUUAAAGGAGUGCCAUUACGAAGGCGAACUCCCGCGGCCGUCCGUCAGUCCGUCCAGCCAACGGUCUCGAUCUUGAUCUUGAUGUCACAGGUGGCUCGGAAUUUCUACCCAGCCAGCCUUUGUCACUGCACCUGUACAGCAAGAGCAAGAGCAAGAGCCUUCAAAGCUGCGUCCCGGGAGGAGGAGGCGCCGUGGCCGUGGCCGCCCCAACACUGCCCUCACGUGUACACAGACCUUCCCGCAGCCACCGACAGGACCUGGCCCCUUCUCUGGUGCCACAGCGACAGACUGACAGCACCCACCGGCACUAACACAGACGAGGCGGCGGCCUGGCACACCCUGGAGGAGGCGACGAAGGCUGUGUGGAGAGGCAAGGAAGGGAAAGGCCAGACUGAUGGUGGUCCUGCGCCUCUUCCCCUUUCGGAGCUGGACAGCCUGCUAGCCGACACAUUGGGGAGCCUGAACAUUGUGCUAGUCGGCUGCCUUGAGAGGAUGGAGCCGAUCAUCACCAUUGAGCCAUCUGCUGCUCCCCAACUCAAGCAGUGAAGAUGAAAGAUAUGUUUUUGCAUCACUGGAGGUCCCGUUCAGUCCGGACGCACUUCAUCAGUCAUGGAUUCAUCGAGUGACAAGGAUUACUUUCCUGAUGUAGAAGAUUACGACAACAAGGAUCUUUCAGACGAGAUGGAGGAUGAUGAAGAGGAUGACAGUCUUCCAAUACCCCUGUCACAGAGCUCACUUGAAGAGCCAAGCAUCUCUGUGAUAGAAGGAAUAGGUUUGUGUGAUGGAUUUGAGCAUACUGCUGUUGGAACAGACAUUGGCAAUGACUUGGCUCGCCACAGUAAACAGGUGACUGAAACUGACCUUGCUGAAGCAAUCAGUAAACACCACAUUAGUAAUGCAGUGAAUGAGUCGCCUCUUACAACUUCAUCUCCAUCACCCAUCCUGACCAGUCCAGCAUCUUCUAGUCCAUUCCUGCCAUCAUCACAAGCCCAAGGUUACGAGUGGUCUCAGCGUGCCAUGAAGAGGCGAUGAACAGAGGCAUAUGAUGCAGCACUGGACGCUGUAUUACAGAUGGCUACACAGCCAGCACCAACCCCUUCAUUCUCCAAGAGCGUUUCAGCAGUGGUAGAAGAGACAAUAAAUGUAGUUCCUCCACAGCUGCAGGUAGAA